RNAcentral lists this transfer RNA (75 nucleotides) under Herbaspirillum frisingense. RNAcentral's name for it is "tRNA-Gly". It matches the Rfam family "tRNA". Rfam says of the family: Transfer RNA (tRNA) molecules are approximately 80 nucleotides in length. Their secondary structure includes four short double-helical elements and three loops (D, anti-codon, and T loops). The record is from RNAcentral. Lineage: Bacteria; Pseudomonadati; Pseudomonadota; Betaproteobacteria; Burkholderiales; Oxalobacteraceae.
GCGGGAUUAGCUCAGUGGUAGAGCGGAAGCCUUCCAAGCUUCGCGUCGCCGGUUCAAUCCCGGCAUCCCGCUCCA